CAAUUUAAACAACGAAGAGUUUGAUCCUGGCUCAGGAUGAACGCUAGCGACAGGCUUAACACAUGCAAGUCGAGGGGCAGCACAGGUAGCAAUACCGGGUGGCGACCGGCGCACGGGUGAGUAACGCGUAUGCAACUUACCUAUCAGAGGGGGAUAACCCGGCGAAAGUCGGACUAAUACCGCAUGAAGCAGGGGCCCCGCAUGGGGAUAUUUGCUAAAGAUUCAUCGCUGAUAGAUAGGCAUGCGUUCCAUUAGGCAGUUGGCGGGGUAACGGCCCACCAAACCGACGAUGGAUAGGGGUUCUGAGAGGAAGGUCCCCCACAUUGGUACUGAGACACGGACCAAACUCCUACGGGAGGCAGCAGUGAGGAAUAUUGGUCAAUGGCCGAGAGGCUGAACCAGCCAAGUCGCGUGAGGGAUGAAGGUUCUAUGGAUCGUAAACCUCUUUUAUAAGGGAAUAAAGUGCGGGACGUGUCCCGUUUUGUAUGUACCUUAUGAAUAAGGAUCGGCUAACUCCGUGCCAGCAGCCGCGGUAAUACGGAGGAUUCGAGCGUUAUCCGGAUUUAUUGGGUUUAAAGGGUGCGUAGGCGGCCUUUUAAGUCAGCGGUGAAAGUCUGUGGCUCAACCAUAGAAUUGCCGUUGAAACUGGGGGGCUUGAGUAUGUUUGAGGCAGGCGGAAUGCGUGGUGUAGCGGUGAAAUGCAUAGAUAUCACGCAGAACCCCGAUUGCGAAGGCAGCCUGCCAAGCCAUUACUGACGCUGAUGCACGAAAGCGUGGGGAUCAAACAGGAUUAGAUACCCUGGUAGUCCACGCAGUAAACGAUGAUCACUAGCUGUUUGCGAUACACUGUAAGCGGCACAGCGAAAGCGUUAAGUGAUCCACCUGGGGAGUACGCCGGCAACGGUGAAACUCAAAGGAAUUGACGGGGGCCCGCACAAGCGGAGGAACAUGUGGUUUAAUUCGAUGAUACGCGAGGAACCUUACCCGGGUUUGAACGCAUUCGGACCGAGGUGGAAACACCUUUUCUAGCAAUAGCCGUUUGCGAGGUGCUGCAUGGUUGUCGUCAGCUCGUGCCGUGAGGUGUCGGCUUAAGUGCCAUAACGAGCGCAACCCUUGCCACUAGUUACUAACAGGUGAUGCUGAGGACUCUGGUGGGACUGCCAGCGUAAGCUGCGAGGAAGGCGGGGAUGACGUCAAAUCAGCACGGCCCUUACAUCCGGGGCGACACACGUGUUACAAUGGCGUGGACAAAGGGAGGCCACCUGGCGACAGGGAGCGAAUCCCCAAACCACGUCUCAGUUCGGAUCGGAGUCUGCAACCCGACUCCGUGAAGCUGGAUUCGCUAGUAAUCGCGCAUCAGCCAUGGCGCGGUGAAUACGUUCCCGGGCCUUGUACACACCGCCCGUCAAGCCAUGGGAGCCGGGGGUACCUGAAGUCCGUAACCGCGAGGAUCGGCCUAGGGUAAAACUGGUGACUGGGGCUAAGUCGUAACAAGGUAGCCGUACCGGAAGGUGCGGCUGGAACACCUCCUUUCUGGA
Molecule: ribosomal RNA, 1538 nt
Filed under: Parabacteroides distasonis
Lineage: Bacteria; Pseudomonadati; Bacteroidota; Bacteroidia; Bacteroidales; Tannerellaceae
Description: bacterial SSU rRNA
Rfam family: Bacterial small subunit ribosomal RNA
Source: RNAcentral